This is a long non-coding RNA of Nycticebus coucang (slow loris), 440 nucleotides long. RefSeq lists it as uncharacterized. The transcript is spliced from 3 exons. Lineage: Eukaryota; Metazoa; Chordata; Mammalia; Primates; Lorisidae. The record is from RefSeq and is a predicted model, not a curated record.
UGUAACCUGGGACUGCUGUCAUAUAAGACAGAGUGUCUACCAUACUGAAGAAUGAGAGGCCAUCAGUUACCACUAACUUCCAGAAAUGUGAAUAAAGCCAUUAUCAUCCUAUCAGUUGAGUGAACCCAGGAAAAACGAACAGAUGAAGUACCUGGCCAACUCAGGGAACAUGAACAAUGACAUAUUUUGUUGUUGUGUCUUUCUUUGUUUGAAGCCAUUAAUCUGGGAUGGGUUGAUGCACAGCACAGGGUUCUGGAGGCCUUUAGUUCUUACCCUGCUCCCCUUCAUCAACUUGCAAAGGCCAUUUCAACAAGACUCAAAUUUGAGAAAGUGAAAGAAAUUAAAGAGAGAAUUGUCUGAAGUGAGAAAAAAUACAGAGAGAUGAUUCAGCCUUAUUUUCCUAGCUGGCUUGGACCUAGACGACUCCUCGACAAACACAG